GUGCGUCCGGCACCCCCAUGGAAGCAAAGAUGGGUCGGGGUGCAUUCAUGACCACCACUGGAGCGGGUUGUGGUGCGUCCGGGACCACCACCGGAACAGGAUCGGAUUGGGGUGCAGCCGGCACUUCGGUCUUCAGCCCUGAUUCAUUUGGUAAGUAUUGUUCACGUUUUUCUUUUUAAAUGAAAUGCUUUAAAUAUGCUCUUAUUUACUACUUUAAAUGUGGUUUACUGUUGUUUAAACAUACGUGUUACGAUCAUUGUAGAGCUUAAUGUGACAAAUGUUCAUUGGUUAGUCGUAGCAUAUGGCGAGCUGUUCAAACCAAAAUGUAUUUCUGCCCGUAAGUUACGACAGUGAAGACUUUUUUUCAGAGGUAGAAAUGAUCUGUUAUGCUGCAAUCACACUAAACGUGAUCCGUGAGUGAAAUUCGCAUCAGAGCCCUCUGUUUGUGGCUAAAGUUUGCUGCUGGACACAUGUCCAAAACUGUCACAGACUCAAAGCCUCUAACGGUUGUGUGGGAGGAGUUAACGCCAAAGGUUUUAAGCCUGGUUGCUACAUGGAAGCAUUGGGUUGUGAAUGCAGCUUCAAGCUUUUUCAAAUCACUGAUCUCCAUUUUAAAAUGUUUUUUUGUAAAAAUCAAUCAAUCAAUGUGCUCUUGUUGUGUUCAGUGUUUCACUGCCAGGUAGACGCCAAGGCCAGCCAGAUACUGAACUUCAAAGAGUUCACCAGAAAGUCACCAUUUCACCAGAAAAGAGCUGUCAGUGGGAUCAGCGUGAUGUGAACAUGAGAUGGGCACUUGUCCUCCUUGCACUUCCUGUUUAUCUGCAUGAAAAUGCCUCCAACUUCUUCCAGACCUGUUCUGAACGUGUCCAUGACUCCCUGUCAAUGCUUUUGUCAAAUCAUUAAACUGAAACUCAUCAUCAUUCAAAUAACAAAAGGAGAACAACAAGGAGGACUGGUUUAUAUAAUUCUGCAAACUGACAGGUAGAAAAAACUUAGCCAAAAUGGAAUGGAAAGUUUGACGCAUUAACUAUUACUGUCCCACCCUGUCUAUAUUUUUACUAUUAUAAUCGUUCCUAAUGGUCUUUUAAUUAUGAUUAUGCCGUUUUAAGCCAAAAUCAACAAGCAUAUGUCGUCCUUUAAAGAUAUUUUUUUCAGCAUUACUGCAAUUUCAGGACUAAUGAGCACACCUGAAAUUAAGCUGCACCCGGCAAAUUUAAAAAGAAAAAGAUAAUUGCACAUAUAGAGGCCACAUGUUUUAUAAGCCACAAAUGUCUACAUUGUAAUAUAGGAUAUUUACACUAUGAACAGUGGCUUUUUAAAUUGACGUCCAGCUGCGCUGCUAUGACUGAGAUCAGCGUAAUAAAAAGUCAAAAUAAACAUUGACGUGUUUUGAUAUUCUAAUGAUUAAAAUUUUAAUGAGUGACAUAAUAAAUACGUCAAUUGUUUGUAGUUUGUAAACUGAGUGAUUUUUAAAUAGUUUUAAAAAUGAGGCAGAAGAUGAAAGGCGAUCAUCAGGGAGAAGGAGCGGGAACUUUUUCUUUUACGCCAAACAGCAGCAAAGACAUGAAAACUCCACAGCGUUUUAGCUGAAGGUGUGGGGAUGGAGCUAUCUGCCAGGACUUUAAUUGUAGGAAAAGGCUGAUCCGACCAUUAUUUUGGAUCGGGAGCAACUGGAUUUUUCAAAAUCAACAAACACCAGCAUUGUCUAAAAACUGCAGGAACAUUGCGAACUGCUGAGCACUGCAAAAGUCCUGCCCGCUCGCCGCUGUUACGGGAGGUGGAGUCCACUCCGGUGACGAGUGAGACUUUCACGGUGCUCCACAGUUCCUGCAAUUUUUAGACAAUGUUGCUCCUCACUGUUCUUAAACAUCCUCCGCCUCCAAAGUAAAAUAAUGAUGGGUUUCCUCCAUAUUGGAUUUCUCCCUCCACCUGCCACAGUGGGUCCUCUCUAUGGAAGCGAUUAUGUAGCAUAAAUAAAAAGCAAAGUCAAAACCAGAAAUGCUUUUUAAUUUUCAAAAUGAAGCUGCAUUUUUUGACUCAU
Molecule: long non-coding RNA, 2041 nt
Filed under: Oryzias sinensis (Chinese medaka)
Lineage: Eukaryota; Metazoa; Chordata; Actinopteri; Beloniformes; Adrianichthyidae
Description: lncRNA (ENSOSIG00000013950.1)
Source: RNAcentral